Molecule: ribosomal RNA, 481 nt
Filed under: uncultured bacterium
Lineage: Bacteria
Description: partial 16S ribosomal RNA
Rfam family: Bacterial small subunit ribosomal RNA
Source: RNAcentral
GAUGAACGCUGGCGGCGUGCUUAACACAUGCAAGUCGAACGAAGCAUUUGCGACAGAUUUUUUCGGAAUGAAGUUGCUUAUGACUGAGUGGCGGACGGGUGAGUAACGCGUGGGUAACCUGCCUUGUACUGGGGGAUAGCAGCUGGAAACGGCUGGUAAUACCGCAUAAGCGCACAAUGUUGCAUGACAUGGUGUGAAAAACUCCGGUGGUAUAAGAUGGACCCGCGUCUGAUUAGCUAGUUGGUGAGAUAACAGCCCACCAAGGCGACGAUCAGUAGCCGAGCUGGGAGGGUGACCGGCCACAUUGGGACUGAGACACGGCCCAGACUCCUACGGGAGGCAGCAGUGGGGAAUAUUGCACAAUGGAGGAAACUCUGAUGCAGCGACGCCGCGUGAGUGAAGAAGUAAUUCGUUAUGUAAAGCUCUAUCAGCAGGGAAGAUAGUGACGGUACCUGACUAAGAAGCUCCGGCUAAAUACGUG